UACGGGGGGAGCAAGCGUUGUUCGGAUUUACUGGGCGUAAAGGGCGCGUAGGCGGCCAGUGCAAGUCAGUUGUGAAAUCUCCGAGCUUAACUCGGAAAGGUCAACUGAUACUGCUCGGCUAGAGUGCGGAAGGGGCAACUGGAAUUCUUGGUGUAGCGGUGAAAUGCGUAGAUAUCGAGAGGAACACCUGCGGCGAAGGCGGGUUGCUGGGCUGAUACUGACGCUGAGGCGCGAAAGCCAGGGGAGCGAACGGG
RNAcentral lists this ribosomal RNA (254 nucleotides) under uncultured bacterium. RNAcentral describes it as "partial 16S ribosomal RNA". It matches the Rfam family "Bacterial small subunit ribosomal RNA", at positions 524 to 776 of the family's 1533-position model. The record is from RNAcentral.